This 822-nucleotide ribosomal RNA is filed under the name uncultured bacterium. RNAcentral's name for it is "bacterial SSU rRNA". It matches the Rfam family "Bacterial small subunit ribosomal RNA", at positions 103 to 917 of the family's 1533-position model. The record is from RNAcentral.
CUGGUGAGUAACGCGUGGGUGACCUACCUUGAGGAUGGGGAUAGUCGCUAGAAAUAGCGGGUAAUACCGAAUAAUGUUGCCGGACUAUGGUUUGGUAAAGAAAGGGGCUUUGGCCCCGCCUUUAGAUGGGCCCGCGUCCCAUUAGCUAGUUGGUGAGGUAAAGGCCUACCAAGGCGAUGAUGGGUAGCCGGCCUGAGAGGGUGAACGGCCACACUGGGACUGAGAUACGGCCCAGACUCCUACGGGAGGCAGCAGCUAAGAAUAUUCCACAAUGGACGAAAGUCUGAUGGAGCGACGCCGCGUGGAUGACGAAGGCCGAAAGGUUGUAAAAUCCUUUUGCGGAUGAAGAAUAAGCGGUGGAGGGAAUGCCAUCGUGAUGACGUUAGUCCGCGAAUAAGCCCCGGCUAAUUACGUGCCAGCAGCCGCGGUAACACGUAAGGGGCAAGCGUUGUUCGGAAUUAUUGGGCGUAAAGGGCGCGUAGACGGCCGCGUAAGUCUGAUGUGAAAACCCCGGGCUCAACCCGGGAACUGCAUUGGAAACUGUGCGGCUUGAGUCACGGAGGGGAAAUCGGAAUUCCUGGUGUAGGGGUGAAAUCUGUAGAUAUCAGGAAGAACACCGGUGGCGAAGGCGGAUUUCCAGCCGAUGACUGACGCUGAGGCGCGAAAGUGCGGGGAGCAAACAGGAUUAGAUACCCUGGUAGUCCGCACUAUAAACGAUGCACACUAGGUGUCGGGACGAGCGUCUCGGCGCCGGAGCGAACGCGAUAAGUGUGCCGCCUGGGGAGUAUGCCCGCAAGGGUGAAACUCAAAGGAAUUGACGGA